CUUGGAGUAGUUUCUUUGGCGGCCGUUGAGGAGAGGCGGCGAGACGACUCGCCGGCGCCGGCUGGCUGGAUCGUUUAGUUGGAGCAAAUCUGAAUCGGCCGGCUUGCGACUCCCUCCAUCGACCAAGAAGAUGAGUUUCUGAGUCGAUGCUUCGCAGGACCUGCAACUGCCCGCUAGUGGUAGCGGAACCGACGCGAGCACCCUGAGCGCACAAGGCGGCGACGGCCACGACACCACCAGAGUGGUCAUCAAGCAGAGCGUGGCGGCCGUGCCGGUCCGGCAGAGGUGGCAGACCGGCCUGUUCGACUGCGAAGACGACGGCUGCGACGCAUUUUGCUGGAGCGCCUGGUUCCCCUGCGCGGCGUUCGCCUGCAUCGCCGACAUCGUCGACCAGGGCUCGGAGGGCCGGUGCGUGCACUUCACCUGCUACCUCGGCGCGGCCUACUUCGGACUCUGGUGGGUGUACGCGGGGUGGUACCGGCGCAAGCUGCGGGAGAAGUACGACCUGCCGGAGACGCCGCUGCCGGACUGCCUCAUCCACCUGCUCUGCCACUGGUGCGCCCUCGCCCAGGAGUACAGGGAGCUCACCGGGCGGGGAUUCGACGUCGACCAGGGCUGGGAGGGCCGGCCGCGGCCGGCGACUGCACCGGCGGCGACCGCCGUGCCCCGGGUCCAGGUGCCGAUGACCAGGCGGCUAUGAGCGAUCGAUCUAGCGCAGCGUGGGGCCGUCGAACGAGCUAACCAGCACGGUUAACUCCGGUCUCCCAGCUUAGUGAAGUACCCCACUGCCUUAAUAAUAACCCAGCGUGGCCGUGCGCGUGUGUGCGCAGCUUUUGGUUUGCUCUGUCUGGUAUCUUCGCUAGUGGCGCGUAGUACUGCGUGAUGUGGCGAUUUGUACUUGGGCUGCAAUGCCUGUCACUUAAUUAUGCGUGGUUAGUGUACCCAUAAUGAGAACGCAGU
Molecule: long non-coding RNA, 960 nt
Organism: Triticum dicoccoides
Lineage: Eukaryota; Viridiplantae; Streptophyta; Magnoliopsida; Poales; Poaceae
Exons: 5
Source: RefSeq, a predicted model, not a curated record